GACGUAGGGCGCGAGCGUUGUCCGGAUUUAUUGGGCGUAAAGAGCUCGUAGGCGGCUUGUCGCGUCGUCCGUGAAAACCCACAGCUCAACUGUGGGCUUGCGGUCGAUACGGGCAGGCUAGAGUUCGGUAGGGGAGACUGGAAUUCCUGGUGUAGCGGUGAAAUGCGCAGAUAUCAGGAGGAACACCGGUGGCGAAGGCGGUUCUCUGGGCAUGUUCUGACGCUGAGGAGCGAAAGUGUGGGGAGCGAACAGG
This 253-nucleotide ribosomal RNA is filed under the name uncultured bacterium. RNAcentral describes it as "partial 16S ribosomal RNA". It matches the Rfam family "Bacterial small subunit ribosomal RNA", at positions 524 to 776 of the family's 1533-position model. The record is from RNAcentral.